RNAcentral lists this long non-coding RNA (333 nucleotides) under Homo sapiens (human). RNAcentral's name for it is "non-protein coding lnc-KIAA1551-9:2". Lineage: Eukaryota; Metazoa; Chordata; Mammalia; Primates; Hominidae. The record is from RNAcentral.
AUGGCUGAAGGGAGCGCAAGGAGCUACCAGAGGCAGAAUGAAGAGACUGAAGCAAUGACAGCCACUUAUUUUGAGGAAUUACGUGUCAUUGAUGACUAUGCCAAAACAUUUUGUAUUAGAAUUAGUGAUGAUAUUGAUUACCCCAAAUGGACACUUUGCUCAUAGGUGAUGCUACUGAAUUAAUAUACAGGUACAGCUCCACCUACUUAUUAGUAGGUAAGACUCUUGGCUUAAAGGACAAGAAUGUGCAGAUUUAUCAAAUGGGCUUGAGAAAAUACAAUUCAGAAUAUUGGUGAAAGUAUUCUUUACCUGUGGGUGGAGAAAAUAAGAGAU